This 492-nucleotide ribosomal RNA is filed under the name uncultured bacterium. Its description in RNAcentral is "partial 16S ribosomal RNA". It matches the Rfam family "Bacterial small subunit ribosomal RNA", at positions 29 to 507 of the family's 1533-position model. The record is from RNAcentral.
AGUGAACGCUGGCGGUAGGCCUAACACAUGCAAGUCGAACGGCCGCACAGUAAGCGCUUGCUCUUACUGGUGGCGAGUGGCGGACGGGUGAGGAAUACAUCGGCUUCUACUUUUUCGUGGGGGAUAACGUAGGGAAACUUAUGAUACUACAGCAUACUACCUACCGGUUAAAGCAGGAGUUCUUCGCACCUUUCGCGUUUGUUUUAGCCGAUGUCGGAUUAGCUAGUUGGCGGGGUAAAGGCCCACCAAGGCGACGAUCCGUAGCUGGUCUGAGAGGAUGAUCGGCCACACUGGAACUGAGACACGGUCCAGACUCCUACGGGAGGCAGCAGUAGGGAAUAUUGGACAAUGGGCGCAAGCCUGAUCCAGCCAUACCGCGUGAGUGAAGAAGGCCUUCGGGUUGUAAAGCCCUGUUGUUAGGAAAGAAAAGAAGCAGAUGAAUACCCCGCUGUUCUGACGGUACCCAAAGAAUAAGCACCGGCUAACUUCGUG